CGCGGGGCUGCUCCGGCCGCCGGGGGUUGGGCCGGCCGGCGGCGCGUCAAGCCAGCCGCUCGGGGCGGGGCGGGACCGAGGCGGCCCGGAGCCGCCCUGCCGCGGCCGGGGCUGGCAGCCCGGCUCCCCGCGCCGCCCUCCAGCCGGCCCCGGCGGGCGGCGCUGGAGCGGGCCCGCGCUGCGGAGCCGGGGCCCCCCUAACGCCCCAGGCGGGCGCACCCAGGGCAGAGCCGCCUGGAUCGACCGACCCGCCCCGCUGGCGAGCUCCGUCCUCUGCAAAGAGCCUGGGGGGGCUCCCGCGGCGCCUCGUCCCGACCAGCUUCCCAGCGCCAGGGGAGCAAGAUCCGUCUGACUUGCAUCACCGGCCCGCGCGUCCCCUCCUUGUAGUUUCCUUUUCUACCAUCCCCAGGAGCUUAAAUUUACAGAAACCCUCCCAUUGCUGCUCGCUCCUAAAAAGGGAGAGGUAAUUUUCUUCUUCAGCAGAGUGACCUGCAGUUAACAGGUGUGAGAGGACAUGCUGGAUAAAACUCAGCAAGAACAGGGUCCUCCACUGUAUUUGUAUGUUAAACAGUUUAAAUUUUAGGAAUACAUAUCGGCUUAAACCCACUUUGCUUAGAAUGUGUAUAACUGGACAUAUUAAAGGGCUCCACCUUC
Molecule: long non-coding RNA, 654 nt
Organism: Dermochelys coriacea (leatherback sea turtle)
Lineage: Eukaryota; Metazoa; Chordata; Testudines; Dermochelyidae
Exons: 2
Source: RefSeq, a predicted model, not a curated record